This is a long non-coding RNA of Spinacia oleracea (spinach), 1079 nucleotides long. RefSeq lists it as uncharacterized. The transcript has 6 exons. The record is from RefSeq and is a predicted model, not a curated record. NCBI's taxonomy places the organism in Eukaryota, Viridiplantae, Streptophyta, Magnoliopsida, Caryophyllales, Amaranthaceae.
AGAUAUCAAAAGUGACGAAAUCCAGUUCUGAAUUUGCGCGAAGAACCACGCUGCAUUUUUGUCAGCUUUGGCUGGUAUUGAGGUUCAGAAGCUGCUGCUAGAGCAGCCAUGGCAACUGUAUAUGACAUGGAUGGUGUAACAAGUAGGGGCAGUGGUCAGUUGCAGGCCUAUUCGAUAAAAGUGCAAAGAAGGAAUUACUGAUCAUCUGUCAAUUUUGGUCUUACAUAUUAAUCCUGCUGUUGAAUCCAGUGGUGGUUCUGUAGCUUGUACACCAGAAGAAGCUCGUGCAGAGGCAGAGUCCCUGCUCAAACUGGAGGAGGACGAGUUUUUAAAGUCCAUAGCAAUCAUUAUCGAAGCUAAGAUGAAAGAGAUCCAAGAUAAGAUUGAUCGUUUUGAAGAAAAGGAUUUGCAGUUGGAAAGGGAAUGGCACCAGUUACGUCAAAUGCAGCAUCAGCUUCACCUAGAUAAGCUCACUCUUUUAUUUCACAAGACUUCUGCGCCUAAAUCGGUAGAAAAUUUUCAGAUGGAAAUGUCAGAACAAAAUUUCCUACAUCUAGUUAGUUCAACCAUAAUGUGUAGCUGUGAUGUUUUAACCAGGCUUCUCUAUUUCUUGCUGCUUGCCUGCUUCUAUAAACAUGAAAAUUCCAUGAAAAUUCUGAUGAUAUGUUUUCUGUUUAUUACAAAAAAUUCAUAUCGUUUUCCUUAUUUUUUAUUUAAAAUUUAUGAAAACAGGAUGACUAUCUUACGGAUGUCAAAGUUGUCUACAUUUCCAAAAGAGAGGAGAAAAAAAAAGUAAAGGAGAUAAUAACCGACAAGGUGAAAGACAAAGGUACGUACAUGAGUAUCGAGAUGAGUUUAAUGAAGAUCAUGGAUCUAAUGAUGAAGAUUAAGAUCUUUCCGACAAGUGGAAAGAGAUGAAUUUUGCAUUGGAGUCCUCUAAGGGUGCUCGGGUGAGAAGCUACAGACCUGAUUCUCGUUCUAACAGAGAUAAACAGAGAAUGAUGACACCGACAUCAAUCUGGAUGGGAUUAAGCUGCCUGAACAUGAUUUGACAGUGACCGGAAUCACUGCUCAUCCUA